Molecule: ribosomal RNA, 201 nt
Filed under: uncultured bacterium
Lineage: Bacteria
Description: partial 16S ribosomal RNA
Rfam family: Bacterial small subunit ribosomal RNA
Source: RNAcentral
AGUCUGCAACCCGACUACAUGAAGCCGGAAUCGCUAGUAAUCGCGGAUCAGAAUGCCGCGGUGAAUACGUUCCCGGGUCUUGUACACACCGCCCGUCACACCAUGGGAGUUGGAAAUGCCCGAAGUCAGUGGCCCAACCGGAAGGGGGGGAGCUGCCGAAGGCAGGUUCGAUGACUGGGGGUGAAGUCGUAACAAGGUAGC